RNAcentral lists this long non-coding RNA (263 nucleotides) under Bos taurus (domestic cattle). Its description in RNAcentral is "long non-coding RNA NONBTAT004744". Lineage: Eukaryota; Metazoa; Chordata; Mammalia; Artiodactyla; Bovidae. The record is from RNAcentral.
UGCCUUCUGCUGACAUCCUUGCCCUGAGCUGAGGAUCACUGGGCAUGUAGGUGCACCGUCAAUUUUGAGAGAACAAACUGCAUCCUCACCUCUUCAUUUCUAUCAACAGAGGACUGCAGGGAGAGGACAAGUGUGUUGCUUCAGAAUGAAAUGAUACGAAGGAGGAAGUUCAUGUCGGUCUUUUUAAUUUGCUCAGCACUGGCCUCAGGCCAAUACAGAGAGAUGGUUUCUCCUCUGAACAUCCUGAUACUGGGUCUCCAGCG